CAGGCUUAACACAUGCAAGUCGAGGGGCAUCAGGAAGAAAGCUUGCUUUCUUUGCUGGCGACCGGCGCACGGGUGAGUAACACGUAUCCAACCUGCCCUUUACUCGGGGAUAGCCUUUCGAAAGAAAGAUUAAUACCCGAUAGCAUAAUGAUUCCGCAUGGUUUCAUUAUUAAAGGAUUCCGGUAAAGGAUGGGGAUGCGUUCCAUUAGGUUGUUGGUGAGGUAACGGCUCACCAAGCCUUCGAUGGAUAGGGGUUCUGAGAGGAAGGUCCCCCACAUUGGAACUGAGACACGGUCCAAACUCCUACGGGAGGCAGCAGUGAGGAAUAUUGGUCAAUGGGCGGUAGCCUGAACCAGCCAAGUAGCGUGAAGGAUGAAGGCUCUAUGGGUCGUAAACUUCUUUUAUAUAAGAAUAAAGUGCAGUAUGUAUACUGUUUUGUAUGUAUUAUAUGAAUAAGGAUCGGCUAACUCCGUGCCAGCAGCCGCGGUAAUACGGAGGAUCCGAGCGUUAUCCGGAUUUAUUGGGUUUAAAGGGAGCGUAGGUGGACUGGUAAGUCAGUUGUGAAAGUUUGCGGCUCAACCGUAAAAUUGCAGUUGAUACUGUCAGUCUUGAGUACAGUAGAGGUGGGCGGAAUUCGUGGUGUAGCGGUGAAAUGCUUAGAUAUCACGAAGAACUCCGAUUGCGAAGGCAGCUCACUGGACUGCAACUGACACUGAUGCUCGAAAGUGUGGGUAUCAAACAGGAUUAGAUACCCUGGUAGUCCACACAGUAAACGAUGAAUACUCGCUGUUUGCGAUAUACAGUAAGCGGCCAAACGAAAGCAUUAAGUAUUCCACCUGGGGAGUACGCCGGCAACGGUGAAACUCAAAGGAAUUGACGGGGGCCCGCACAAGCGGAGGAACAUGUGGUUUAAUUCGAUGAUACGCGAGGAACCUUACCCGGGCUUAAAUUGCAGUGGAAUGAUGUGGAAACAUGUCAGUGAGCAAUCACCGCUGUGAAGGUGCUGCAUGGUUGUCGCCAGCUCGUGCCGUGAGGUGUCGGCUUAAGUGCCAUAACGAGCGCAACCCUUAUCUUUAGUUACUAACAGGUUAUGCUGAGGACUCUAGAGAGACUGCCGUCGUAAGAUGUGAGGAAGGUGGGGAUGACGUCAAAUCAGCACGGCCCUUACGUCCGGGGCUACACACGUGUUACAAUGGGGGGUACAGAAGGCAGCUAGCGGGUGACCGUAUGCUAAUCCCAAAAUCCUCUCUCAGUUCGGAUCGAAGUCUGCAACCCGACUUCGUGAAGCUGGAUUCGCUAGUAAUCGCGCAUCAGCCACGGCGCGGUGAAUACGUUCCCGGGCCUUGUACACACCGCCCGUCAAGCCAUGGGAGCCGGGGGUACCUGAAGUACGUAACCGCAAGGAUCGUCCUAGGGUAAAACUGGUGACUGGGGCUAAGU
Molecule: ribosomal RNA, 1440 nt
Filed under: uncultured organism
Description: 16S ribosomal RNA
Rfam family: Bacterial small subunit ribosomal RNA
Source: RNAcentral